Molecule: non-coding RNA, 215 nt
Organism: Ciona savignyi (Pacific transparent sea squirt)
Lineage: Eukaryota; Metazoa; Chordata; Ascidiacea; Phlebobranchia; Cionidae
Source: Rfam
CGGCCUGAGGUCGGACGAGGCUACCCGCUGAAUUUAAGCAUAUUACUAAGCGGAGGAAAAGAAACUAACGAGGAUUCCCUCAGUAACGGCGAGUGAAGCGGGACGAGCCCAGCGCCGAAUCCGGCCGCUUAUGGAGCGGACGGAAUUGUGGCGUAUGGAAUUCGCUUCGAGCGCGGACCGGCUGCCCACGUCCUUCUGAUCGAGGCUUCAUCCCA